AUGGCGGCCAUCAAGCCGCCGCCGCCUGACCGGCCGCCGCAGGCCGCGCGGCUGCCGUCCCCUUCCUCCUCCUCCUCGGCGGCCGAGCCGUUCCAGCCAGAGGGUCUCCUCCACACCUUCUGCGGCACGCCGGCCUACGUCGCGCCCGAAGUCCUCGCCCGCCGUGGAUACGAAGGCGCCAAGGCCGACAUAUGGUCCUGCGGUGUCAUCCUCUUUGUUCUCAUGGCCGGAUACCUCCCUUUCCAUGACCAGAACCUCAUGGCCAUGUACCGUAAGGUUUACAAGGGAGAGUUCCGAUGUCCAAGGUGGUUCUCCAAGGACCUUACUAGCUUGAUCAUGCGUUUUCUUGACACAAACCCAAGCACCAGGAUCACCUUGCCGGAGGUCAUGGAGAGCCGGUGGUUCAAGAAAGGUUUCCGGCCAGUCAAGUUCUAUAUUGAAGAUGACCAGCUGUACAACGUCAUUGAUGCCGAGAAUGAUAUGCUCGACUUGGGUCUCCCUGACCCUCUUCCUCAACCAUUGCUUCCUCCACCUUCAUCUCCAUCUCCGCAAGAAGUUGAUGGAGAUGACUCAGGGUCAGAAUCCGACGCAUCAGUCGUGUCCUGCCCUGCCACAUCGUCAUUUGAAGAGCGCCACAGGCUCCGCGGGCCACUCCCACGCCCCGCAAGCCUUAACGCGUUUGAUAUCAUAUCAUUCUCAAGGGGAUUCAACUUGUCGGGGCUGUUUGAGGAAAAAGGGGACGAGGUGAGAUUCAUCUCGAGUGAACCUAUGUCGGGCAUUAUAACGAAAUUAGAGGAGAUCGCAAAUGUGAAGAGCUUCGCGGUGCGGAAGAAGGAUUGGCGGGUGAGCCUAGAGGGCACAAGGGAAGGGGUUAAGGGGCCACUAACAAUCUGCGCGGAGAUAUUUGAACUCACACCCUCCCUUGUAGUAGUGGAGGUAAAAAAGAAGGCGGGGGAUAAGGAAGAGUAUGAUGAUUUCUGCAACAAGGAAUUGAAGCCAGGAAUGCAGCAUCUUGUGCACCAGAUGGCCCCAGUUCCAAUUACACCUACCAUUUCUGAGUAG
RNAcentral lists this ribosomal RNA (1062 nucleotides) under Triticum aestivum (bread wheat). Its description in RNAcentral is "partial small subunit ribosomal RNA". Lineage: Eukaryota; Viridiplantae; Streptophyta; Magnoliopsida; Poales; Poaceae. The record is from RNAcentral.